CGGGCGCCUAUGGAACUCGACCUGCAGGCCAAAGGGGCUCCGUUGCAAGGAAGAAGUGCGGGGUCCCGCCGCCUCCUAGACCGAGAUCGCGGUGAGCAGGCCGCGGCGCACGGUGGGCACGGCCUGGGUGGCGGCGCCUGCACUGUCGCCCCGCGCCUGCGGAUCCUAGAGCCAGCUGGUCCACCGGAAGUGUGUGUUCUGCCUGUCCCUGCAGCCCGGAGGGCUGGGCUUUAUACCUGUGCCAAGGACAGGUGGAUACCUGUAAUCAAGGGUAGCAUCAGCAAGCCCGUGUUGUCUCCCAAAUAAAUGGUGUUCUCCAACAAGCUUUUAGCAGUAAUAAAGCUGACAUUUUUA
This 354-nucleotide non-coding RNA is filed under the name Pongo abelii (Sumatran orangutan). The record is from RNAcentral. Lineage: Eukaryota; Metazoa; Chordata; Mammalia; Primates; Hominidae.